RNAcentral lists this ribosomal RNA (268 nucleotides) under uncultured bacterium. RNAcentral describes it as "partial 16S ribosomal RNA". It matches the Rfam family "Bacterial small subunit ribosomal RNA", at positions 524 to 790 of the family's 1533-position model. The record is from RNAcentral.
UACGGGGGGGAGCAAGCGUUGUUCGGAUUUACUGGGCGUAAAGGGCGCGUAGGCGGUCAGCACAAGUCAGUUGUGAAAUCUCCGAGCUUAACUCGGAAAGGUCAACUGAUACUGUGCGACUAGAGUGCGGAAGGGGCAACUGGAAUUCUUGGUGUAGCGGUGAAAUGCGUAGAUAUCAAGAGGAACACCUGCGGCGAAGGCGGGUUGCUGGGCCGACACUGACUGAGGCGCGAAAGCUAGGGGGAGCGAACGGGAUUAGAAAACCCUA